RNAcentral lists this ribosomal RNA (1155 nucleotides) under Triticum aestivum (bread wheat). RNAcentral's name for it is "partial small subunit ribosomal RNA". The record is from RNAcentral. Lineage: Eukaryota; Viridiplantae; Streptophyta; Magnoliopsida; Poales; Poaceae.
CCGGACUGGAGCACUCUGCCGGAGGAGCUCCUGGAGCGCAUCGGCAAGAUGCUCCCGUCGUGCCGCCACGCCCUCCAGUUCAGGUCCAUCUGCACGGCCUGGCGCGCUGUGCUGCCGUUCGCCAGGUACAUAGGGCCGUUGCUGAUGCUGCCCUACAACCGCGACUCGCCGGAUUGCCCGGUCACCUUCUACACCGUGGCAGACGGCGGGGAGACGACAUUCACCAGGAACCUCCCGUCGUUGCGCGGCAACGCCAUGCUCGGCUCGUCACGCGGUUGGCUAGCCCUCGUGGACGACGAGGCCGCGUCAUUGACGCUUCUCAACCCGCUCACGGACACCACCGUCGAGCUCCCGCCGGCGGACGAGCACGUCGUGGUGGCCUCCUUUAGUCAAGCGACGAUGCUCGAUGGGAUCCAGACCGUCAUCCUUCUUGCUGACGGCGACGUCAUCAAGCUAGACGAGCUGAAGAAAAGCACAAUGUUCUGUCAAAAAAAGAUGAGCUCGGUCUUCAGCCAGAUCGUGCUCUCCUCCUCCUCGCCUGGCUCCGGCGACUGUGUGGCGAUGGCGGCGCUCCAUGGCUCGAGCACCGUCGCGUUCUGUCGCGUGGGCAUUGACGCGGCGUGGAGCUUGCUUGACACCGACCUUGACUGCGUUACCUUGCUCGUUCAUCUCCAUGGCAGCAGGUUCCUGGCGAUCGACGACGAAUGUUCCGGAAUGUUCAACAUCUGUGACGUUGCGGGUGCAGCUGCAACGGCUACAUCGGUGCCGUUGUCUCCGGCUCCAAUAUAUCGCCGCCAUUAUAUGGAGGUCAAUGGCGAGCUGUUCGUCGUCGGCACAAUGUUUCAGGAUUCCACCUACCUUUGGCAGGUAUACAAGAGCAAUGUCUUCACAGCGACGCUGAGUUGGACAAGGGUGGAGAACGCCGGUGAUCUGACAUUGUUCUUGUCAAGUAAUUUCACGCCAGCAGGCUACGGUGGAGCAGUAAGUGUCUCCGGGUUCAAGAGGAAUGCCGCCUACUGUCUAGCCUUUAGCUCGGACCGUGAUCAGUUUGAGUGGGAGAUCAUUGACAUCGCGAAUGGGACAUCGGAAUUCCAGCCUUGUUCAAAGAAGAUUUUGGGUUCAGGGGCUCUUUGCUGGAUCCAACCGAAUUGUUGG